CCUACGGGAGGCAGCAGUGAGGAAUAUUGGUCAAUGGGCGCGAGCCUGAACCAGCCCAGUAGCGUGAAGGAUGACUGCCCUACGGGUUGUAAACUUCUUUUAUAAAGGAAUAAAGUUAGGCACGUGUGCCUUUUUGUAUGUACUUUAUGAAUAAGGAUCGGCUAACUCCGUGCCAGCAGCCGCGGUAAUACGGAGGAUCCGAGCGUUAUCCGGAUUUAUUGGGUUUAAAGGGAGCGUAGGUGGGUUGUUAAGUCAGUUGUGAAAGUUUGCGGCUCAACCGUAAAAUUGCAAUUGAUACUGGCUGUCUUGAGUGCAGUUGCGGUAGGCGGAAUUCGUGGUGUAGCGGUGAAAUGCUUAGAUAUCACGAAGAACUCCGAUUGCGAAGGCAGCUUACUAAACUGCCACUGACAUUGAUGCUCGAAAGUGUGGGUAUCAAACAGGAUUAGAUACCCCUGUAGUC
This 460-nucleotide ribosomal RNA is filed under the name uncultured bacterium. Its description in RNAcentral is "partial 16S ribosomal RNA". It matches the Rfam family "Bacterial small subunit ribosomal RNA", at positions 338 to 795 of the family's 1533-position model. The record is from RNAcentral.